Molecule: ribosomal RNA, 253 nt
Filed under: uncultured bacterium
Lineage: Bacteria
Description: partial 16S ribosomal RNA
Rfam family: Bacterial small subunit ribosomal RNA
Source: RNAcentral
UACGUAGGGGGCGAGCGUUGUCCGGAUUUAUUGGGCGUAAAGCGCACGCAGGCGGUCUUUCAAGUUCGGAGUGACAGUUGUCGGCUUAACCGAGAAAGUGCUUUGAAGACUGAAAGACUUGAGGGCUCAAGAGGGACACGGAAUUCCGGGUGUAGUGGUGAAAUGCGUAGAUAUCCGGAGGAACACCAAAUGCGAAGGCAGUGUCCUGGGGAGUACCUGACGCUCAGGUGCGAAAGCUAGGGGAGCGAACGGG